ACUAUUCGAAGAUAUUUGAGGAGAGGUUAUCCGUGUUAUGUUCUCUUUUUCAUCAUGAAUAAUACAUGGUUAACCUCUUUUUGAAUGUCAAACUC
Molecule: microRNA precursor, 95 nt
Filed under: Ochotona princeps (American pika)
Lineage: Eukaryota; Metazoa; Chordata; Mammalia; Lagomorpha; Ochotonidae
Source: RNAcentral